GUGAAUCAUCAAAUCUUUGAACGCAAAUUGCACUCUCUGGUAUUCCGGAGAGUAUGCCUGUUUGAGGGUCAGUUAAAUUAAAAUUGGUGUUGUUUCUUCCUUUCGUGGUUACGCACCGGAUGUUGGUCGGCUUGCCUUUGGUUAAGUUACCUUAAAUUUUGCCUUGAUUUUUUGGACGUAUUUUAAUUGUUUUACGUUCGUUUUCGAUUUCGAAAUCCU
Molecule: unclassified non-coding RNA, 219 nt
Filed under: Glomeromycetes sp.
Lineage: Eukaryota; Fungi; Glomeromycota; Glomeromycetes
Description: partial contains 5.8S ribosomal RNA and internal transcribed spacer 2
Rfam family: 5.8S ribosomal RNA (bases 1-71)
Source: RNAcentral